This 29-nucleotide non-coding RNA is filed under the name Rattus norvegicus (Norway rat). The record is from RNAcentral. Lineage: Eukaryota; Metazoa; Chordata; Mammalia; Rodentia; Muridae.
UAGAAGCCUAGAUACUUCAAGCCAAACUG